This 66-nucleotide transfer RNA is filed under the name Margattea concava. RNAcentral describes it as "tRNA-Ile". Lineage: Eukaryota; Metazoa; Arthropoda; Insecta; Blattodea; Pseudophyllodromiidae. The record is from RNAcentral.
UAUGAAGUGCCUGAAAAAGGCUUAUUGUGAUAGAAUAAUUCAUGUAAUAUCAUAUUACCUUCAUAA